Molecule: long non-coding RNA, 370 nt
Filed under: Nicotiana benthamiana
Lineage: Eukaryota; Viridiplantae; Streptophyta; Magnoliopsida; Solanales; Solanaceae
Description: long non-coding RNA (NBEN_LNC021031)
Source: RNAcentral
UCCGAGAUCAUGGGCAAGUGGUUGAAGACAUGAUCAAAGAUCAUGGGCAAGUGGCUGACAUGAUCCCCUUUGUAACUGUCCCCCUUUGUAACUGCCAUUGGCAGCCCCUUUAUUUAUAUGCAUUUCGUAUAUGGCUAAGGCAUUCAGAAAACACUUGUGAGCCAAGCCUAAAAACGUGAUUCCUUGUAUUAUUCUGAGAGAGAUAAUAAAGGUUGGGUUUUACCCGUAAACUGUGUGUGUGUUCUUAAGUUUGGUUCAAGCCUGAAAUUGUCUAAGUAAGGCUGUGUUGUGUGAAAAAGUGACGGGCUGAAGUGGCUGCGAGCUACUGCCGUGCAGUGUUGAUUUUGCGAAAAUUAACCCUGUAACAACU